UGGGGAAUAUUGGGCCAUGGGCGAAAGCCUGACCCAGCAACGCCGCGUGAGGGAAGAAGGUUUUCGGAUUGUAAACCUCUGUCUUAGGGGACGAAAAAAAUGACGGUACCCUAAGAGGAAGCCCCGGCUAACUACGUGCCAGCAGCCGCGGUAAUACGUAGGGGGCAAGCGUUGUCCGGAAUGACUGGGCUUAAAGGGCGUGUAGGCGGCCGCUUAAGUCUGGCGUGAAAGUCCUGCUUUCAAGGUGGGAAUUGCUUUGGGGACUGGUUGGCUUGAGUGCGGAAGAGGCAAGUGGAAUUCCCAGUGUAGCGGUGAAAUGCGUAGAGAUUGGGAGGAACACCAGUGGCGAAGGCGACGUGCUGGGCCGUAACUGACGCUGAGGCGCGAAAGCGUGGGGAGCGAACA
RNAcentral lists this ribosomal RNA (405 nucleotides) under uncultured prokaryote. RNAcentral's name for it is "bacterial SSU rRNA". It matches the Rfam family "Bacterial small subunit ribosomal RNA", at positions 355 to 774 of the family's 1533-position model. The record is from RNAcentral.